RNAcentral lists this long non-coding RNA (462 nucleotides) under Homo sapiens (human). Its description in RNAcentral is "non-protein coding lnc-OR4F29-1:24". Lineage: Eukaryota; Metazoa; Chordata; Mammalia; Primates; Hominidae. The record is from RNAcentral.
UGGUGCUCUACAAGAAAAAUCUGCUUUAUAGAUGAGGAAAGACCCUUGGGGCAGACAAGACAGUCCCUGUUUGACAUAAUUCCUUUAUCUCUUCUCCCCCAGCUCUGCUGCCCCCUGCCCCAUACACGUGAUGGAGCAGAAAACGUGCUGUGUGAACCUGUGACUUCAGGGCCUGUUGACGUGGUCGUGCUUGCAUACUCUCUGGACUGGACCUCACUGUGGGAACAACAAGAUCAACAAGAGGAGCAAGAACAACAUCAAGAGUCAGGGCCCGGGGGUCCUGACGGGUACAGGACGGGUACAGACCCACACAGGAAUCCCAGAGUGUGUUCCACAGCAGGACACGCCUGCGCUGAAAGAGUGGGCAGAAAGGAGCUGACCUGGGAUUAUGAUCCAAACUCAGCUGGGCCUCCCCUCCCUGCCCCAGGAUUGUGGAGUGAGAACGUUGCAGCAGGAGAGAAC